Molecule: small nuclear RNA, 188 nt
Organism: Cebus imitator (Panamanian white-faced capuchin)
Lineage: Eukaryota; Metazoa; Chordata; Mammalia; Primates; Cebidae
Gene: U2
Rfam family: U2 spliceosomal RNA
About the family: U2 is a small nuclear RNA (snRNA) component of the spliceosome (involved in pre-mRNA splicing). Complementary binding between U2 snRNA (in an area lying towards the 5' end but 3' to hairpin I) and the branchpoint sequence (BPS) of the intron results the bulging out of an unpaired adenosine, on the BPS, which initiates a nucleophilic attack at the intronic 5' splice site, thus starting the first of two transesterification reactions that mediate splicing.
Source: Ensembl
AUUUCUUCUUGGCUGUCUGGCUAAGAUCAUGCGCAGUAUCUGUUCUUACCAGUUUAAUAUCUGAUACAUCCCCUAUCUGAGGAUAAUAUAAUAAAGAGAUUUUUGGAGCAAGGAGAUGGAAUAGGAGCCUGCUCUGUUCACCACACAUUGACCUGGAUUGCAGUACCACCAGGAAUGGUGCAUCCUCC